RNAcentral lists this ribosomal RNA (253 nucleotides) under uncultured bacterium. RNAcentral describes it as "partial 16S ribosomal RNA". It matches the Rfam family "Bacterial small subunit ribosomal RNA", at positions 524 to 776 of the family's 1533-position model. The record is from RNAcentral.
UACGUAGGGGGCAAGCGUUGUCCGGAAUCAUUGGGCGUACAGCGCGCGUAGGCGGACCUGCAAGUCGGGGGUGAAAGCCCGAGGCUCAACCUCGGAACUGCCUUCGAUACUGCGGGUCUCGAGUCCGGGAGAGGUGAGUGGAAUUCCUAGUGUAGAGGUGAAAUUCGUAGAUAUUAGGAAGAACACCAGUGGCGAAGGCGGCUCACUGGCUCGGUACUGACGCUGAGGCGCGAAAGCCAGGGGAGCAAACGGG